Long non-coding RNA from Drosophila navojoa, 766 nucleotides. The record is from RefSeq and is a predicted model, not a curated record. Lineage: Eukaryota; Metazoa; Arthropoda; Insecta; Diptera; Drosophilidae.
GCUGCCAACAGCAGUUGGCUAUGAAGAUACCUUUGUACACUAAAAACAAAAAAAAAAAGAGAGAGGAAUGUUUAGCCUGGUAACUGUCAACUUGCUGUUUACGUUAGGGGUGGGUACCGAGCGAACCCUCCACAAGGUUGGGCUGACAACAGACACAGGCCAGGUAUAAAAACCAAGCACGCCAGCAAAAUCAAGAUCAGCCACACGGGCAGGUAGCUAGGCCACAAAUAAGGAGCGAAUAUCAUAAAGGAGAAAGAGAGACAGAGGGAGAGAGAGAAACGGUGAGAAGGUAAGCAGGGUCGGUGCACUGGCGCAGAACGUGCAUUCCAGAGCUGAAUAAAAUGAAAUAAAAGUACAGUCAGUCAUUCAAGAAGAUGCCCAAGCAAACGCACCCUGUUGCACAGUGUGCUGUUGCUCCUUGUUGGGCAUUGUCGCACCUUUGUCUCGCACACUUCUGUCCAUCAAUAGAUCCAUCAAUCAAUCAUGCGCCACUCGGCAUACCGAAAGAUGAAUAUGAAGAGUCAGCGCGAAUCAUAUAUGUAGCCAAAAUGUUUCGAUUAUGAGUUUCGAGUGCCUGACUCAGCCUACCCAAAAAAAAACAAAAAGAAAGAAAAGAAAACCCCUCCCAUAAUCUCUUGAUGAUGCUGUUCCCUGCUAGAGAGCCAGGCCAAUAAAAGAUAUAUAGAGAGUUCUGUCAAAGAUAUCCAUUUGCUUAGCUGUGAACUGAUUGCUAAUGGAUUCCUAAGAAAUUUCAUUACUGAAUAUA